This 253-nucleotide ribosomal RNA is filed under the name uncultured bacterium. RNAcentral's name for it is "partial 16S ribosomal RNA". It matches the Rfam family "Bacterial small subunit ribosomal RNA", at positions 524 to 776 of the family's 1533-position model. The record is from RNAcentral.
UACGUAGGUGGCUAGCGUUGUCCGGAUUUACUGGGCGUAAAGAGCGCGCAGGCGGUCGUUCAAGUCGCGUGUGAAAGCCCCCGGCUCAACUGGGGAGGGUCACUCGAUACUGAUCGACUCGAAGGCAGAAGAGGGAAGCGGAAUUCCCGGUGUAGUGGUGAAAUGCGUAGAUAUCGGGAGGAACACCAGUGGCGAAGGCGGCUACCUGGCCCAUUCUUGACGCUGAGGCGCGAAAGCUAGGGGAGCAAACGGG